GAUGAACGCUCGCGGCAGGCCUAAUACAUGCAAGUCGAACGGGAUCCAGAUCAAAGCUUGCUUUGGUCUGGUGAGAGUGGCGCACGGGUGCGUAACGCGUGAGCAACCUACCCUUGUCAGGGGGAUAGCCCGGCGAAAGUCGGAUUAAUACCGCAUGACAUCAUUGAGAGGCAUCUUUCGAUGAUCAAAGAUUUAUCGGACAAGGAUGGGCUCGCGUGACAUUAGCUAGUUGGUAAGGUAACGGCUUACCAAGGCUGCGAUGUCUAGGGGCUCUGAGAGGAGAAUCCCCCACACUGGUACUGAGACACGGACCAGACUCCUACGGGAGGCAGCAGUAAGGAAUAUUGGUCAAUGGACGGAAGUCUGAACCAGCCAUGCCGCGUGCAGGAAGACGGCCCUAUGGGUUGUAAACUGCUUUUAUACGGGAACAAACGUCGGUACGUGUACCGGUCUGAGUGUACCGUAAGAAUAAGGAUCGGCUAACUCCGUG
RNAcentral lists this ribosomal RNA (490 nucleotides) under uncultured bacterium. Its description in RNAcentral is "partial 16S ribosomal RNA". It matches the Rfam family "Bacterial small subunit ribosomal RNA", at positions 28 to 507 of the family's 1533-position model. The record is from RNAcentral.